UGUCUUCAGGGCAGGGUGCGAGUCCCGACCGGUGGUAAUAGAUUUUCUUAAGCCCACGAACCGAAAGGUUGAUUUUGGUGUGAUUCCAAAGCCGACAGUACAGUCUGGAUGAGAGAAGA
This 119-nucleotide non-coding RNA is filed under the name uncultured Dialister sp. Its description in RNAcentral is "FMN riboswitch (RFN element)". It matches the Rfam family "FMN riboswitch aptamer (RFN element)". Rfam says of the family: The RFN element is a highly conserved domain that is found frequently in the 5'-untranslated regions of prokaryotic mRNAs that encode for flavin mononucleotide (FMN) biosynthesis and transport proteins. This element is a metabolite-dependent riboswitch that directly binds FMN in the absence of proteins. The record is from RNAcentral. Lineage: Bacteria; Bacillati; Bacillota; Negativicutes; Veillonellales; Veillonellaceae.